UACGGAGGGUGCAAGCAUUGAUCGGAAUUACUGGGCGUAAAGGGCGCGUAGGAGGCCGAACAAGUCAGAUGUGAAAUUCCGGGGCUCAACCCCGGAGCAGCAUUUGAAACUAUUUGGCUAGAGUACAGUUAGGGUAAACGGAAUUCCACGUGUAGCGGUGAAAUGCGUAGAUAUGUGGAAGAACACCGGUGGUGAAGACGGUUUACUGGGCUGACACUGACGCUGAGGCGCGAAAGCAUGGGGAGCAAACAGG
This 253-nucleotide ribosomal RNA is filed under the name uncultured bacterium. RNAcentral's name for it is "partial 16S ribosomal RNA". It matches the Rfam family "Bacterial small subunit ribosomal RNA", at positions 524 to 776 of the family's 1533-position model. The record is from RNAcentral.